RNAcentral lists this long non-coding RNA (1091 nucleotides) under Gadus morhua (Atlantic cod). RNAcentral's name for it is "lncRNA (ENSGMOG00000035421.1)". Lineage: Eukaryota; Metazoa; Chordata; Actinopteri; Gadiformes; Gadidae. The record is from RNAcentral.
CACAGCCAGACAGGUGGGCAGCAGAGCAAGCUCUGUCACAGACUAUGUGGAGACUUGUGAAGGUACACCUGAUGAUCAUCUUAAUCCCCACUUCCUGUUUAUCGACUCCGGCUUCUCAAUCAGUCAUCGCCAGUUAGUCAAACAGUCUACCCUACUGUUCCUCCACACCGCAGUCCUGGUUCCUACUUCAACCCAGCUGGGCUCCAGCAACAACCAGCCUCUUCUCAUUUCGCAGCAAAUAAACAUAUGAACUGUUACAACUCUUGUGUCUGUCGUGCGUUUGGGCUCCCCCCAUCGCGGGCCGUAACAGUCUGUCUUCUAUUACUAAGACAGUUGGAUUGCACCUGCAAAAGGCAUGUUUUAAAAUUGUUUAUUCACUUAAAUCUAGCCUAGGCUAUUUGGAGAAACCUACUAGAGUUGGCAAGACAUUGAAAGUAUCAAACUGAAAAAAGUCCCCAAAAUCCCUUCAGCCCCCAUCCAAUCCCACUUCCUCAAAGCACAUGGCAGACCGCAGACUUUCACAGUUCAUGCCGACCGUUGUGGAAGUCUCAACAUGGCAAGUUUCGUGACAAACACAGUCAUGUGUUUGUGUGUGACAAACAGCGAAAUCUAAGGGGGAUGAUGUUCUAGACACCCUCAGACAGAACAGAUAACUGCAAAACUGGACACUGAACAAAAAAUACAUAUGUAUAUAAUAUUUGCAAUUGUAACUGUUAAUCCAAUAGGGUUUGUACACAAUUUUGAAUUAGAAUCUUGUUCAUUUGUAUGACAGAGGGAGCCUGCUUUCAUUUUGCUUGAAUAGUAAUACAAGUGAAAAGACAAGUGCAGACUAGAAAUGUACUCCAUUGUCAUGCUUAAAAAGAUAUGCACUCUAACAUAAUUGUUGAGUUUCCAAAACCUUGGCUUGCCACAAGGUGGUACUCUGCAUUAAUUCAGACCCCAGCGAUUAACGAUAGGCCUACAUGAUUUAAAUGAUCAUUAGACUACUUAUAUAUGAUAAGUAUCAUAUUGGUAUUAAUAAUAUAGUAAUAGUAAUAUUAGCAUAUAAUAUAUAAGUAUAAGUAUAUAUUAUUAGUAUAUAGUAUUAUUAU